Molecule: ribosomal RNA, 403 nt
Filed under: Fusobacteriota bacterium
Lineage: Bacteria; Fusobacteriati; Fusobacteriota
Description: Fusobacteria bacterium partial 16S ribosomal RNA
Rfam family: Bacterial small subunit ribosomal RNA
Source: RNAcentral
UGGGGAAUAUUGCACAAUGGAGGGAACUCUGAUGCAGCGACGCCGCGUGAACGAAGAAGGCUUUCGAGUCGUAAAGUUCUUUUAUAUGGGAAGAUAAUGACGGUACCAUAGGAAAAAGCCCCGGCUAACUACGUGCCAGCAGCCGCGGUAAUACGUAGGGGGCUAGCGUUGUCCGGAAUCACUGGGCGUAAAGGGUUCGCAGGCGGAAAUGCAAGUCAGGUGUAAAAGGCAGUAGCUUAACUACUGUAAGCAUUUGAAACUGCAUAUCUUGAGAAGAGUAGAGGUAAGUGGAAUUUUUAGUGUAGCGGUGAAAUGCGUAGAUAUUAAAAAGAAUACCGGUGGCGAAGGCGACUUACUGGGCUCAUUCUGACGCUGAGGAACGAAAGCGUGGGUAGCAAACAGG